RNAcentral lists this small RNA (132 nucleotides) under Salmonella enterica. Its description in RNAcentral is "RtT sRNA". It matches the Rfam family "RtT RNA". From Rfam's summary of the family: This family represents a bacterial cis-regulatory element known as RtT RNA. The exact function of RtT is unknown although it is thought that it may be involved in changing the cellular response in relation to amino acid starvation. The record is from RNAcentral. Lineage: Bacteria; Pseudomonadati; Pseudomonadota; Gammaproteobacteria; Enterobacterales; Enterobacteriaceae.
GUUUGCACUUGUCGGGGAAGGGUGAGAACCUUCGAUUAAGGUUCGACUCGAGCGAAAGCGAGAGAACGUUGCCAACGGCAACGACCCGUAGGGCGAAGCGCGCAGCGCUGAGUCAUCCUUCCCCCACCACCA